This 263-nucleotide unclassified non-coding RNA is filed under the name Brucella sp. 191011898. RNAcentral's name for it is "BASRCI408". The record is from RNAcentral. Lineage: Bacteria; Pseudomonadati; Pseudomonadota; Alphaproteobacteria; Hyphomicrobiales; Brucellaceae.
UCGGAACUUGGAAUGUAUGUUCUGGCCGGGUUCCUGAUCCUGGGUGCUGCAAUCGUGCUGUGCAUACCUGCAAGCAAAGUCAACCGAUAGGUCUGUUCUUAAGCCCUAAACACGCGACAAUCCCGGUUUACCGGGGUUGUCCUCUUCGGGAUCUGCCAGCCACGACAGGCCUGACAAUAUAGAGCGCAUCUCGAAAAGUGUGAAACGGUUUUCGGAAAAGAUGCGCGUUAAAACAAAUAGUUAGAGCGCCGAUCUGAUUCAUU